This is a long non-coding RNA of Brassica napus (rape), 2721 nucleotides long. RefSeq lists it as uncharacterized. The transcript is spliced from 6 exons. The record is from RefSeq and is a predicted model, not a curated record. Lineage: Eukaryota; Viridiplantae; Streptophyta; Magnoliopsida; Brassicales; Brassicaceae.
CAGUUAUGUUACAUCUAAUUGUGAUUGUCGUCUGGGCUGACUUGGGCCAACCUUGCUUACAUUCACUCAUGCGCUAAACGUUGUGUUCCGUGAAUAUUCCAGAAUUAGGGCUUCGUCGUUGUUACCUUCCUCACAUAAUCAAACCGCCAUAUUUUGUUUUCUGAUCUUAAAAAAACCGUUCCUCUUCUCAUCUCUACACUUCACCUUCCCGUAUCUCUUGACCUCCCUUUAGGUUCGAUGUUUUGCUUUAAUUCACGAGUUAUUGUUACUCACAUCAAUCCCAGAUCUCGCCGCUUCCGUUUACUUCGCGUUCAAUCUAUAUAUAUCAGCUUCUCGAGAGGAUGAUUGCCCCUCGAAAUCUUUGUCAGUUUAUCAUUUUCUAAACUCUAGAAAGUUUGUCAGAUGUGGCUUCCUCUGAUGUUGUUCUCGCUUACUCCACCUUCGAUGCUCUCCGACUGGGUAGAUCUGCCCAGAUCAUUGUUGGUCGUCUCCUCCGUUUCGGGGACUCGAAAAAUAUCAAGAAGCAAGGUGAAUUCAUGGGCAUCACUCUCCUCUUCCUUGACGAGAAGAAUUCCGUCAUACAUGGAUUCAUUCCUGCUGGUCGCGCUCCUUAUUACCGUCCGUCCUUGCGAGUGGGUUCAGUUGUCAGAGUCUCCCGCUUUGAAGUUGCAAGAUGUAUAAAUAUGUAGAAGAUUACGGAUCACCUCUGCCUCAGCUCAACCCCGGCGACUAGAGUUUUUUUCAGCCCCGACCUUCCAGACACCAAACAAUUCAAAUUGAGCUUAAGUGGUGCAGGAGGUGAGCACUUCAACUGGUUGGACGACAACGCGGCAAUCAGUAACAAACAACUUUGCUCGGUUGGAGAUCUCAACAUGUUCCUCUCCAGCUCUACCACCCAGGAAGGUUAUUUUAUCUACAAAGCCCGGAUUGUUGAGGUCUUGACCCAAAAUGGAUGGAACUAUCUCUCUUGCAUUCAUUGCAGCAAAGAAAUUGAGCAAUCUGGCGCAACUCUCCACUGCAACCGAUGCUUUAAUUCCAAUAUCACCGGUGUUGUGAGGUGAAAAUUCAACGAUCUCAUUUUUUUUAAAAAAAUUACUAUUAUCUACAUUCAGAUCAACCAAGCUAUCGCGGAUAACAUGUACCGUGUAGAAUUAUUGGUUGAUGAUGGGAAUAAUUAUGCCACUGUUGUGGUGUUAAACAAGGAGAUGCUCAAACUCACUAAGCAAGACGCAGCUACUCUGCUUCUUAAUGAGGUCAAUAUUGGUGGCGACGGGAAACUCCCUCAAUGCAUUGAGGAACUUGAAGGGCAGACAUUUAUUUUUCAUAUACAUGUCUCGCCCAACAAUUCUGUCUUGCCCAGCAAUUCUGCUUCUUCCCACUGCCCGUUCACAGUCUCUGCAAUCAGUGGGAAGAUUACUACAGAGGAUUUCAACAACAGUGAAACCCCAUAUGCUGUAAGGGAAUUCAGCGAAGCAUCCACUUCCGCUUCUCCCAUAAACACGUCAACCGUUGAAGUUGAACAAGGUGGACGCAAAGACGCACGUGAGUGAGUCUUUGAAGGAACCAAAACAUCAACCCAACUCUGCUUACCACUUCUUAGCUAUUUCAAUAUUACUAUGCAUUUACUCUUUCAGACUUUCUAAAUUUGCUCUUUUCUCAGUUUUUUUUCCAAAAAAAAAAAAAAACAUUUCCUUCAUUGUAUCGCAUAUGAGGAUCACAAUUCUCAAGUUUAAUAGUUUGACACGGGUUGACGUCAUAUUUAUAAUAGUUGUUUCAAUUUUUUUUUAAAAAUGCCACAACCCAUGCAGUUUUAACGUAAAGUCCACAUAGUUCUCACAUUACAAUAUUACAUUCCUAUAAUAGCAGAUAUCACACGUUAUACAUGUAUAACUACUUAGCAUUACAAAAAAUCUCUUCACUCUCCUUCUUCUUAUACUUCUCUUCACUCUUCUUCUUCUACAACACUCCACCUCCGUCAACAUUUCCGAACUACAACUGCUCAAGUGUUCACAAAAUUCCCGCGCGAGCGCGGGACUCCGCCCCUAGUAUAUUAUAUAAGACAGUUUCGAAGUCGGUGACAACCUCUUCAUCAUUUGCAUUGCGUUUUUGGUCUUUAGAUUUUUUGCUUCUCUUUAUUUUGGCCCGAACCUUCUAUUCUAAACAGAUCCUUUUUUUAUUUCCUCCUCAAACUUUCUAAUUGUACCUACAAACUAUAUUAUAUGCAAAUAACCACAUAAAUGCAAUAUAUACACUUAAAUAAAAUAUGAAAUGAUUAAAAUUGAGCUAAAAUAAUAUGCAUCAUAAAAUGUCAUAAAAAUGAAAAAUACAAUAAAAUUCUAUAUAUUUUGCUUAGUUGAUAACCCAAUUUUAGAAAUUUGUUAGUUUAGACUAAUGUCAAUAUAAUGAGUAUGUUUUGCAAUUUUAAUCUAUCCUAUUAAAACUAAAGUAAAAUUAAGAAUUACCUUAUUUCAAGUGUAAUAUUACUCUUUAUGCCACAGGUCUUCUCAUCAUUUAACAUCUUCACAUAAACCGGUCUAUUUCAAUUCAAAUAUAUCUGUGGAAAUCUUCAUUUGACAUAACCAAUCAAAACUCGGAUGAAUGAAAACUCGGAUUGAUCUCGGUUUGUUCUCCUACUGCCGCAAAAAGAAAAUCAAUUACUCCCCUACUACCUCAAAAAUGGGUACAACUCAAAAACGGGUACAACUACUUAUUAUUAAAAGA